This 255-nucleotide ribosomal RNA is filed under the name uncultured bacterium. RNAcentral's name for it is "partial 16S ribosomal RNA". It matches the Rfam family "Bacterial small subunit ribosomal RNA", at positions 524 to 776 of the family's 1533-position model. The record is from RNAcentral.
UACGUAGGGGGCAAGCGUUGUCCGGAAUCAUUGGGCGUAAAGCGCGUGUAGGCGGUCCGGUAAGUCGGUUGUGAAAGUCCAGGGCUCAACCCUGGGAUGCCGAUCGAUACUGCCGGACUAGAGUCCGGAAGAGGCGAGUGGAAUUCCCGGUGUAGCGGUGAAAUGCGCAGAUAUCGGGAAGAACGACCCGUGGCUAAGGCGGCUCUCUAGUACGGUACUGACGCUGAGACGGCGAAAGCGUGGGGAGCGAACAGG